Molecule: ribosomal RNA, 253 nt
Filed under: uncultured archaeon
Lineage: Archaea
Description: partial 16S ribosomal RNA
Rfam family: Archaeal small subunit ribosomal RNA
Source: RNAcentral
AACCAGCACCUCAAGUGGUCAGGAGGAUUAUUGGGCCUAAAGCAUCCGUAGCCGGUUCUGUAAGUUUCCGGUUAAAUCCACUAGCUCAACUAAUGGGCUGCCGGAAAUACUGCAGAACUAGGGAGUGGGAGAGGUAGACGGUACUCGGGAGGAAGGGGUAAAAUCCUUUGAUCUCUUGAUGACCACCUGUGGCGAAGGCGGUCUACCAGAACACGUUCGACGGUGAGGGAUGAAAGCUGGGGGAGCAAACCGG